This 231-nucleotide ribosomal RNA is filed under the name Salmonella enterica subsp. enterica serovar Kentucky. RNAcentral's name for it is "partial 16S ribosomal RNA". It matches the Rfam family "Bacterial small subunit ribosomal RNA", at positions 116 to 350 of the family's 1533-position model. Lineage: Bacteria; Pseudomonadati; Pseudomonadota; Gammaproteobacteria; Enterobacterales; Enterobacteriaceae. The record is from RNAcentral.
UCUGGGAAACUGCCUGAUGGAGGGGGAUAACUACUGGAAACGGUGGCUAAUACCGCAUAACGUCGCAAGACCAAAGAGGGGGACCUUCGGGCCUCUUGCCAUCAGAUGUGCCCAGAUGGGAUUAGCUAGUUGGUGAGGUAACGGCUCACCAAGGCGACGAUCCCUAGCUGGUCUGAGAGGAUGACCAGCCACACUGGAACUGAGACACGGUCCAGACUCCUACGGGAGGCA